Molecule: long non-coding RNA, 841 nt
Organism: Symphalangus syndactylus (siamang)
Lineage: Eukaryota; Metazoa; Chordata; Mammalia; Primates; Hylobatidae
Source: RefSeq, a predicted model, not a curated record
CGUCAUGCCCUACGAUCCUGGUGCGGGCUACUCCAGGCUCUGACCGUUCGGCGGCGGAGGCUGCUCUGCAAAAGGCGAGUUACCUGUGCUGAGAAGUAGUAAGAGCUUAUUGGUAUACUGUGCAAAUGAAGAAAGAUGAAAAAGUGAAGACUGCCUCUCACGGUCCUCGGCGCCGAAUCAUUUAAGUCGACGUUUGGAUGUGUUUCCCCCUAGACACGUGCGAGGCGCGCGGAGCAGGUGGAGAAGGCGAACCGUGGGUUUGGUCUGGAGCCGCGCUCCGCCGGGACGGCUGAAGAGCAGGGAGGGCCGGGGAGACGCCUGAGGGGAUGACAAGCAGUCCAGGCUCGGCAGCCGAAGAGCGAAGGCUGGACGGAGAGGAAAGGAUCAGAAGUAGUAGUUUAAAUGUGUCAAGAUUUUACAGUGCCUUCAUAUGAGAAGGACACCUAAAAAUUUGAAUGGGGACCUGUGGGAAGAUCCUGGUGAAACUGGGGACAUUGAGCUCCUAAAUUCUGUGGAUUCUUUUUUGCCAGUAGAAGCAAGCCUUCCACCCCAUCUGAGGAUAUUGACUCCGCUAUCAAGUGGGAACCUGUGGUGGCCUCUUCUGAGGUAGCUGCCUCAGAAGACACUGCUGAUUCCUCAGGACCUACCCUAGGAACCCCUCUUUGCUUCUAGAACUAUGACAAGACUCAAGUCCCUACAAGGCCCAAAAGGUGCAGAGGGAAGGAACUGGGAGCACACAGCAAGAAACUGGCUGUUCACAAGCUAGGACCUGACCCUGCUGGCACCUUGAUCUUGGACUUCCAGCCUCCAAAACUGUGAGAAAAAAAUAAAUAUCUGUUGU